GACGAACGCUGGCGGCGUGCUUAACACAUGCAAGUCGAACGGAAAGGCCCUGCUUGCAGGGUGCUCGAGUGGCGAACGGGUGAGUAACACGUGGGUGAUCUGCCCCUUACUUUGGGAUAAGCCUGGGAAACUGGGUCUAAUACUGGAUAGGACCAUGCUGUAGGUGGUGUGGUGGAAAGAUUAGUUUCGGUAAGGGAUGAGCUCGCGGCCUAUCAGCUUGUUGGUGGGGUAAUGGCCUACCAAGGCGUCGACGGGUAGCCGGCCUGAGAGGGUGGACGGCCACGUUGGGACUGAGAUGCGGCCCAGACUCCUACGGGAGGCAGCAGUGGGGAAUAUUGCACAAUGGGCGCAAGCCUGCUGCAGCGACGCCGCGUGGGGGAUGACGGCCUUCGGGUUGUAAACUCCUUUCAGCCAUGACGAAGCCCUUGUGGUGACGGUAGUGGUAGAAGAAGCACCGGCUAACUACGUG
Molecule: ribosomal RNA, 469 nt
Filed under: uncultured bacterium
Lineage: Bacteria
Description: partial 16S ribosomal RNA
Rfam family: Bacterial small subunit ribosomal RNA
Source: RNAcentral